Rosa chinensis is the source of this 311-nucleotide long non-coding RNA. RefSeq lists it as uncharacterized. The record is from RefSeq and is a predicted model, not a curated record. The transcript is spliced from 2 exons. Lineage: Eukaryota; Viridiplantae; Streptophyta; Magnoliopsida; Rosales; Rosaceae.
UUUUAGCUCUGUCUUUUCUUCCUCUCGCUCCUUUCACUCCCUCAAACGACUGCCUCCUCAACUGCGGCUCUUCCUCCAACGCCACCUUCUUCAACCACUUCUUCAUCGGAGAUUUCAAUUCCGGGUCGGGUUUUGUCUCCACAGGCCGGUCUAUUUCAGUCACCAACAACAAAAUCCCACCUCCAAACUCACCCUCUCCUUACCACACAGCAAGAGUUCUCACCACUGCUUCAAGCUAUAGCUUAAGCAUUAGGAAAAUUGGAACUCACUUGUCAUUCGUCAAGGAGCGGUUCAAAUCGGAUUGGGCUUUG